Molecule: long non-coding RNA, 226 nt
Filed under: Elaeis guineensis (African oil palm)
Lineage: Eukaryota; Viridiplantae; Streptophyta; Magnoliopsida; Arecales; Arecaceae
Description: long non-coding RNA (EGUI_LNC063200)
Source: RNAcentral
CCUGCAGUCAGAGUCGGCGAAGUCCGGCUCCUGUAGGAGUCCGGGCGAAGUCUACCUGCAAUUGAAGUCGGGGAUGAAGUCCGGCUCCCGUAAGAGUUCGGACGAAGUCUUCCUGCAGUCGGAGUCGGCGAAGUCUGACUCCCGUAGGAGUUCGGGUGGAGUCUACCUACAAUUGAAGUUGUGGAUGAAGUCCGGCUCCCGUAGGAGUACGGACGAAGUCUUCCUG